Non-coding RNA from Arachis ipaensis, 975 nucleotides. The record is from RefSeq and is a predicted model, not a curated record. NCBI's taxonomy places the organism in Eukaryota, Viridiplantae, Streptophyta, Magnoliopsida, Fabales, Fabaceae.
UUUGCCGCCGUACCGCUGGUAGCCGGGGUACACCGCCAUUGACGCUGAAAAAUGCCACUAUUGGAGCCACUGUCCUUGCUCGGCCCCUGUUUCUGCUGCUGUUUACGCUGGUUUAGCCAUUGCCGCCACAACCCGUCUCGAAUUUCUUCUAAUUUCGACACUCAGAGGGUGCUGCUACUCUAAAUGAUUGGAAGAUGGUCAUCGCUGUUUGAAAAGAGCAAUGCAUCACAAUUGCCCCAUUUUCUUUGAGCAUGUAAAGUGGCUGGGAAUUCUGAGUUGAUUCUCUCAAUGGCCUGAAUGACUCAAGUAAAAUUACUGCAUUUGAUUUUGAUGGACUGAAUGACUCAAGUAAAAAUCUUAGAAUUCUGGAGAAGAUUGCCCAAAUAUUCAAAGAGGAUUUGAAGUUUGGUGGAGAAAAGCUUUCUCGAAGCAGAAUGGAGAGUAAGAAUAGACAAGACAAUUACGAAUUACAGCUACAACAGUUGAUAAUCCUUGAAGACAGACAGUCCCAGCAUGGUGGAAUUGACAGCAUUCUACUGGGUGUGUCUCCUUUUAACCUUCUCUUGAUCAUUUCAAUUUCUAUUUAAUUCCUCUGUGUUGACCAACAUUUCAACCUUGGUAGCUUACCUGUAAAGCUGCUUGUUUGAAAUCUGAUAGACUCUGUCUUCAUCCAUGAUUGAUUUACCUUGAACAAGUUAGCACCAUUGUAUUUUUUUUCCUUUUUUCUUUUGGCACUUUUUUGUUUGUUUGUUGUGCACAUAAUCUAAUCAUUUCAAUAGAAACAACCUAUGAAUAUAGAAUUUAUAGUUCAUGUGGGUACUUGGAAACAUUCUUCUUUUAUCAGUGUGCAUAGUCAUCGAUUUACACUUAGGCUGGUCAUAAUUUGGCUCUAUCUUGAGCUGACAACACUACACUCUUGAAGAAUGUUAUUUUUUUUAUUAUGAGACUGUUCUAUCUUCAUUAUGUAUUUAGGGG